Molecule: ribosomal RNA, 253 nt
Filed under: uncultured bacterium
Lineage: Bacteria
Description: partial 16S ribosomal RNA
Rfam family: Bacterial small subunit ribosomal RNA
Source: RNAcentral
GACAGAGGUGCCAAGCGUUAGGCGGAAUCACUGGGCUUAAAGCGUGUGUAGGCGGACUGGUAAGUACCUUGUGAAAUCCCACGGCUUAACCGUGGAACUGCUUGGUAUACUGCUGGUCUUGAGCCACCUAGGGGCGAGCGGAACAAAUGGUGGAGCGGUGAAAUGCGUAGAGAUCGGAAAGAACACCAACGGCGAAAGCACUCUGCUGGGCCGACACUGACACUGAGAGACGAAAGCUAGGGGAGCGAAUGGG